This 610-nucleotide ribosomal RNA is filed under the name Hypocreales sp. RNAcentral describes it as "SSU rRNA". It matches the Rfam family "Eukaryotic small subunit ribosomal RNA", at positions 95 to 709 of the family's 1831-position model. Lineage: Eukaryota; Fungi; Ascomycota; Sordariomycetes; Hypocreales. The record is from RNAcentral.
GGCUCAUUAUAUAAGUUAUCGUUUAUUUGAUAGUACCUUACUACUUGGAUAACCGUGGUAAUUCUAGAGCUAAUACAUGCUAAAAAUCCCGACUUCGGAAGGGAUGUAUUUAUUAGAUUAAAAACCAAUGCCCUCUGGGCUCUCUGGUGAUUCAUGAUAACUUCUCGAAUCGCAUGGCCUUGCGCCGGCGAUGGUUCAUUCAAAUUUCUUCCCUAUCAACUUUCGAUGUUUGGGUAGUGGCCAAACAUGGUUGCAACGGGUAACGGAGGGUUAGGGCUCGACCCCGGAGAAGGAGCCUGAGAAACGGCUACUACAUCCAAGGAAGGCAGCAGGCGCGCAAAUUACCCAAUCCCGACACGGGGAGGUAGUGACAAUAAAUACUGAUACAGGGCUCUUUUGGGUCUUGUAAUUGGAAUGAGUACAAUUUAAAUCCCUUAACGAGGAACAAUUGGAGGGCAAGUCUGGUGCCAGCAGCCGCGGUAAUUCCAGCUCCAAUAGCGUAUAUUAAAGUUGUUGUGGUUAAAAAGCUCGUAGUUGAACCUUGGGCCUGGUUGGCCGGUCCGCCUCACCGCGUGUACUGGUCCGGCCGGGCCUUUCCCUCUGUGGAACC